CACUGUAGGUCUAGCGGUCAGAACACUAGCCUUGUAAGCCUGGGGUCCCGGGUUCAAUUCCCGGUGGUG
This 69-nucleotide transfer RNA is filed under the name Zootermopsis nevadensis. It matches the Rfam family "tRNA". From Rfam's summary of the family: Transfer RNA (tRNA) molecules are approximately 80 nucleotides in length. Their secondary structure includes four short double-helical elements and three loops (D, anti-codon, and T loops). Lineage: Eukaryota; Metazoa; Arthropoda; Insecta; Blattodea; Termopsidae. The record is from Rfam by way of RNAcentral.